Molecule: ribosomal RNA, 932 nt
Filed under: uncultured bacterium
Lineage: Bacteria
Description: bacterial SSU rRNA
Rfam family: Bacterial small subunit ribosomal RNA
Source: RNAcentral
UGCAGUCGACGGCAGCACGGACUUCGGUCUGGUGGCGAGUGGCGAACGGGUGAGUAAUAUAUCGGAACGUAUCCAUAAUGGGGGAUAACUAAUCGAAAGGUUGGCUAAUACCGCAUACGCCCUACGGGGGAAAGCUAGGGAUCUUCGGACCUGGCGUUAAUGGAGCGGCCGAUAUCUGAUUAGCUAGUUGGUGAGGUAAGAGCUCACCAAGGCGACGAUCAGUAGCUGGUCUGAGAGGACGACCAGCCACACUGGAACUGAGACACGGUCCAGACUCCUACGGGAGGCAGCAGUGGGGAAUUUUGGACAAUGGGCGAAAGCCUGAUCCAGCCAUUCCGCGUGAGUGAAGAAGGCCUUCGGGUUGUAAAGCUCUUUCGCAAGGGAAGAAAACUUAGUCUCUAACAUAGACUGAGGUUGACGGUACCUUGAUAAGAAGCACCGGCUAACUACGUGCCAGCAGCCGCGGUAAUACGUAGGGUGCGAGCGUUAAUCGGAAUUACUGGGCGUAAAGCGUGCGCAGGCGGUUUUGUAAGUCAGAUGUGAAAUCCCCGAGCUCAACUUGGGAACUGCGUUUGAAACUACAAGACUAGAAUAUGUCAGAGGGGGGUAGAAUUCCACGUGUAGCAGUGAAAUGCGUAGAGAUGUGGAGGAAUACCAAUGGCGAAGGCAGCCCCCUGGGAUAAUAUUGACGCUCAUGCACGAAAGCGUGGGGAGCAAACAGGAUUAGAUACCCUGGUAGUCCACGCCCUAAACGAUGUCUACUANUUGUUGGUGGAGUAAAAUCCAUGAGUAACGCAGCUNACGCGUGAAGUANACCGCCUGGGGAGUACGGUCGCAAGAUUAAAACUCAAAUGAAUUGANNGGGCCCGCACAAGCGGUGNAUUAUGUGGNUUAAUUCGAUGCAACGCGAAAACCUUACCUGGNNUUGACAU